UACAGAGGGUGCGAGCGUUGUUCGGAAUUACUGGGCGUAAAGCGCGCGCAGGCGGCUUCUUAAGUCCGUCGGUCAAAUGCCGGGGCUCAACCCCGAGCGUGCCGAGGAUACUGGGAGGCUGGAGACAUGUAGAGGCAAGCGGAAUUCCGGGUGUAGCGGUGGAAUGUGUUGAUAUCGGAAGGAACGCCGGUGGCGAAAGCGGCGGACUGGGCUUCUUCUGACGCUGAGGCGCGAAAGCUAGGGGAGCAAACGGG
This 254-nucleotide ribosomal RNA is filed under the name uncultured bacterium. RNAcentral's name for it is "partial 16S ribosomal RNA". It matches the Rfam family "Bacterial small subunit ribosomal RNA", at positions 524 to 776 of the family's 1533-position model. The record is from RNAcentral.